GGCUUCUUGGUUUAGUGGCAGAAUUGCCGCUUCGGGUGCGGUAGACCCGGGUUCGAUUCCCGGAGAAGCCCA
Vanrija pseudolonga is the source of this 72-nucleotide non-coding RNA. The record is from the annotation of a RefSeq genome assembly. NCBI's taxonomy places the organism in Eukaryota, Fungi, Basidiomycota, Tremellomycetes, Trichosporonales, Trichosporonaceae.